This is a long non-coding RNA of Vidua macroura (Pin-tailed whydah), 387 nucleotides long. RefSeq lists it as uncharacterized. NCBI's taxonomy places the organism in Eukaryota, Metazoa, Chordata, Aves, Passeriformes, Viduidae. The transcript has 3 exons. The record is from RefSeq and is a predicted model, not a curated record.
CACCAACAGACCUCCCGUCGCAGGGGUCCUCCAAAAGGAAAGACCCAAGAUACUGCAGCCACAAAGUCUCAUGAGUCAAACGAAUUCCUGAGACAAACACAGAAGGAAGCACAGGGAGGACAAGUGACGGACCAAACAUCUCUGCAAAAGGAGGUACAUUCCGGAGGAAGCAGUGGCUCAGUGGCAAGCUCUGCUGCAGGAAGGAAGGCAAUGCCAGGCACGGGCACAGGCACAGGAGGUAAUUGCUGUGCCGGGCUCAGCCGGGCUCAGCCCUCGGCGGGGCUGUGUGGCAGCAGCUCUUCCCCCAGGCCCUGCCCUUGCACGGCCCGGCAGCAGCCAAAGCUGGAGGCGCCUCGGCUUCCAGGCCUCUGGAGCUCGUUCACAGCC